GGGGGUGGUCAGGUGGCCGCCAGUGCGCCGAGAUUCAUCUCGGUCCGGCGCUGGAGGAAAGUCCGGGCUCCAUACGGCAGGGUGCCGGCUAACGGCCGGCGAGGGAGACCUCAGGGAAAGUGCCACAGAGAGUAGACCGCGUCCCUGACUGCCUUUGGCAGUUCGCGACGUAAGGGUGAAAGCGUGCGGUAAGAGCGCACGGGAGCCGACGGAGACGUCGGUCUUCGGUAAACCCCACCUGGAGCAAGGUCAUAUCGGGAGUGCAACACCGUAAGGUGCGGAGAGUCGCCGGCUCGAGCUCUCGGGUAGACCGCUACAGGCACAGAGCAAUCUGUGUCGUAGACGAAUGGUCAUCACUGAUUGUGGAGUGAUCCACUUUCGGAACAGAACCCGGCUUACGACCACUCCUCGGC
Molecule: RNase P RNA, 413 nt
Filed under: Myxococcales bacterium
Lineage: Bacteria; Pseudomonadati; Myxococcota; Myxococcia; Myxococcales
Description: RNase P RNA component class A
Rfam family: Bacterial RNase P class A
About the family: Ribonuclease P (RNase P) is a ubiquitous endoribonuclease, found in archaea, bacteria and eukarya as well as chloroplasts and mitochondria. Its best characterised activity is the generation of mature 5'-ends of tRNAs by cleaving the 5'-leader elements of precursor-tRNAs.
Source: RNAcentral